This 449-nucleotide ribosomal RNA is filed under the name uncultured bacterium. RNAcentral describes it as "partial 16S ribosomal RNA". It matches the Rfam family "Bacterial small subunit ribosomal RNA", at positions 29 to 523 of the family's 1533-position model. The record is from RNAcentral.
AGCGAACGCUGGCGGCAGGCCUAACACAUGCAAGUCGAACGAAGUCUUCGGACUUAGUGGCGGACGGGUGAGUAACACGUGGGAACGUACCUUUUGGUUCGGAACAACUCAGGGAAACUUGAGCUAAUACCGGAUGAGCCCUUAGGGGGAAAGAUUUAUCGCCGAAAGAGCGGCCCGCGUUAGAUUAGCUAGUUGGUGAGGUAAAGGCUAACCAAGGCUACGAUCUAUAGCUGGCCUGAGAGGAUGAUCAGCCACACUGGGACUGAGACACGGCCCAGACUCCUACGGGAGGCAGCAGUGGGGAAUCUUGCGCAAUGGGCGAAAGCCUGACGCAGCCAUGCCGCGUGAAUGAUGAAGGUCUUAGGAUUGUAAAAUUCUUUUACCAGGGACGAUAAUGACGGUACCUGGAGAAAAAGCCCCGGCUAACUUCGUGCCAGCAGCCGCGGUAA